AACAUCAAUUUUAAAGAAAUUUUAGUUUGUUUAAUUUUAUUUUUAAUCUCUCUAAUCUUUUUAGGGUAUAAAUGUUAAUCCUGAGAUUACUGCACUACAGACUAUGCUUGCUGAAUGCCAAGAAAAGCUUAAGGAACUGACUUUGAUAGAGAAAAGGUUAGACUGUUUGGAACAAAAAAUGAAAGGAAAUGUGAUGGUAGAUGAAAACACCUGGACUAAUCUGCUUAGUCGUGUCACUCUUCUUGAAACGGAAAUGCUUUUGUCUAAAAAGAAUGACGAAUAUGUAGAGUUUAAUGAAAUUAAUGAAGACUACGCUUCUUGUAGCAACAUGGACCUUCUGAAUCCUCACAGAAAAAACAAAGUAGAGAGGCCAGCAAGUAUUCCUCUGUCCUCUGGCUAUAGUACAGCAUCAUCAGAUUCGACUCCCAGAGCCUCUACCAUUAAUUACUGUGGUUUGAAUGAGAUUUCAGAGGAAACAACAAUCCAGAAAAUGGAAAGGAUGAAAAAAAUGUUUGAAGAAACUGCAGAGUUACUGAAAUGUCCAAAUCACUACUUGUAGGAUUUUCUACAUGAACUUUUCUAGGACUUCGGUUACUAUACAUAUUGUAUAUUUUAAGAAUUCUUUAUACAAUUUUAAUAUACUACAAUUUUUGACAAUUAGGAUUCCAUUUGGUAUAUGAAUUUUUGCAUUCAUUAUUGAAUAAAUCUUUUAAUAUUUUUGAGCAAUGAUUAUACUGCUUUACCUUGUGUCCCUUUUUUUUUUUUUUUUUUUGAGGAAAAACUCAUGUUCCAGUCUAUUUCUCUUACAGAGUGAAGUCAUUACAGCACUGUAUUUCUGUGUUGACAUUUGUUGGCAGUGUGCUAAGUAAUGUUUUUUAAAGCACAGGCUUGAGGACUAUGGUUUACAUCCUGUUGGAAACAUUCCAAAUGGGACUUGUGUAUUAUACCCAGGAGGCUUUCAUAUAUGCCAUCUUCGCAUCUGUACUGAUGAAUAAGUUAUAAUAAACAGUUAAAAAUACUCACUGAAAAUUAAAUAUAAAGACAGCUAUUUCAUGCUUGGUCAAAAACAGC
Molecule: long non-coding RNA, 1071 nt
Filed under: Rhinopithecus roxellana (golden snub-nosed monkey)
Lineage: Eukaryota; Metazoa; Chordata; Mammalia; Primates; Cercopithecidae
Description: lncRNA (ENSRROG00000045933.1)
Source: RNAcentral